This 489-nucleotide ribosomal RNA is filed under the name uncultured bacterium. Its description in RNAcentral is "bacterial SSU rRNA". It matches the Rfam family "Bacterial small subunit ribosomal RNA", at positions 791 to 1284 of the family's 1533-position model. The record is from RNAcentral.
UAGUCCACGCCGUAAACGAUGAUAACUAGCCGUUGGAAUUUUCAGUGGCGCAGCUAACGCAAUAAGUUAUCCGCCUGGGGAGUACGGCCGCAAGGCUAAAACUCAGAUGAAUUGACGGGGACCCGCACAAGCGGUGGAGCAUGUGGUUUAAUUCGAUGCAACGCGAAAAACCUUACCUACACUUGACAUACUUUGAAUUUUUUAGAGAUAAAAAAGUGCCUUCGGGAACGAAGAUACAGGUGCUGCAUGGCUGUCGUCAGCUCGUGUCGUGAGAUGUUCCGUUAAGUCGGAUAACGAGCGCAACCCUUACCCUUAUUUGCCAGCGAUUCGGUCGGGAACUAUAAGGGGACUGCCGGUGAUAAACCGGAGGAAGGUGAGGACGGCGUCAAGUCAUCAUGGCCCUUACGAGUAGGGGCUACACACGUGCUACAAUGGGAGGAUACAGGGCGGACGCUAAGCCGCGAGGGUGGUGCUAAUCCUAGAAAGUUC